AGUCGUAGCGGUGUAGUUGUACAUGGGUCGUCGUGGACAUCGUGUAAGUAGUGGUACACGGGUCUUCGGCGACGGUAGAUGUACACGCUCUGUAGAUGUUCAGGGUCAUCGAGGACGUCAUGGAAUUUGUGGUACACGUGUCGUCGAGGAAGUAGUCGUACACAGUUGGAGAGGUGCUUGGCGAAUCCAUGAUCUUCGGAGGUCG
RNAcentral lists this long non-coding RNA (205 nucleotides) under Hordeum vulgare. RNAcentral's name for it is "long non-coding RNA (HVUL_LNC012518)". The record is from RNAcentral. Lineage: Eukaryota; Viridiplantae; Streptophyta; Magnoliopsida; Poales; Poaceae.